UACGUAGGGUGCAAGCGUUGUCCGGAAUUAUUAGGCGUAAAGAGCUCGUAGGCGGUCUGUCGCGUCGGCUGUGAAAACCCGGGGCUCAACCCCGGGCCUGCAGUCGAUACGGGCAGACUAGAGUGCGGUAGGGGAGACUGGAAUUCCUGGUGUAGCGGUGAAAUGCGCAGAUAUCAGGAGGAACACCGGUGGCGAAGGCGGGUCUCUGGGCCGUAACUGACGCUGGGGAGCGAAAGCGUGGGGAGCGAACAGG
RNAcentral lists this ribosomal RNA (253 nucleotides) under uncultured bacterium. Its description in RNAcentral is "partial 16S ribosomal RNA". It matches the Rfam family "Bacterial small subunit ribosomal RNA", at positions 524 to 776 of the family's 1533-position model. The record is from RNAcentral.